GACGAACGCUGGCGGCGUGCCUAAUACAUGCGAGUAGAACGCUGAAGGAGGAGCUUGCUUCUCCGGAUGAGUUGCGAACGGGUGAGUAACGCGUAGGUAACCUGCCUGGUAGCGGGGGAUAACUAUUGGAAACGAUAGCUAAUACCGCAUAACAGUAGAUGUUGCAUGACAUUUGCUUAAAAGGUGCAAUUGCAUCACUACCAGAUGGACCUGCGUUGUAUUAGCUAGUUGGUGAGGUAACGGCUCACCAAGGCGACGAUACAUAGCCGACCUGAGAGGGUGAUCGGCCACACUGGGACUGAGACACGGCCCAGACUCCUACGGGAGGCAGCAGUAGGGAAUCUUCGGCAAUGGACGGAAGUCUGACCGAGCAACGCCGCGUGAGUGAAGAAGGUUUUCGGAUCGUAAAGCUCUGUUGUAAGAGAAGAACGAGUGUGAGAGUGGAAAGUUCACACUGUGACGGUAUCUUACCAGAAAGGGACGGCUAACUACGUG
Molecule: ribosomal RNA, 495 nt
Filed under: uncultured bacterium
Lineage: Bacteria
Description: partial 16S ribosomal RNA
Rfam family: Bacterial small subunit ribosomal RNA
Source: RNAcentral